Molecule: ribosomal RNA, 323 nt
Filed under: uncultured eukaryote
Lineage: Eukaryota
Description: partial 18S ribosomal RNA
Rfam family: Eukaryotic small subunit ribosomal RNA
Source: RNAcentral
CCCUUAGAUGUUCUGGGCCGCACGCGUGCUACACUGAACGGUUCAAUGGGUAAGGUAGUGCGAAAGCAUGACCUAAUCUCGAAAUCCGUUCGUGCUGGGGAUAGAAGCUUGCAAUUAUCCUUCUUGAACGAGGAAUACCUUGUAAGCGUGAGUCAUCAUCUCACGCUGAAUACGUCCCUGCCCUUUGUACACACCGCCCGUCGCUCCUACCGAUUGAGUGUUCCGGUGAGGCUUUGGGAGAAUGGCCUCAACAUGAGUUUAUCGUGUUUUGCCGUUUGAACUUAGUCAAACCUUAUCACUUAGGGGAAGGAGAAGUCGUAACA